GAUGAACGCUGGCGGCGUGCCUAAUACAUGCAAGUCGAGCGAACGGACGAGAAGCUUGCUUCUCUGACGUUAGCGGCGGACGGGUGAGUAACACGUGGAUAACCUACCUAUAAGACUGGGAUAACUUCGGGAAACCGGAGCUAAUACCGGAUAAUAUUUUGAACCGCAUGGUUCAAAAGUGAAAGACGGUCUUGCUGUCACUUAUAGAUGGAUCCGCGCUGCAUUAGCUAGUUGGUAAGGUAACGGCUUACCAAGGCAACGAUGCAUAGCCGACCUGAGAGGGUGAUCGGCCACACUGGAACUGAGACACGGUCCAGACUCCUACGGGAGGCAGCAGUAGGGAAUCUUCCGCAAUGGGCGAAAGCCUGACGGAGCAACGCCGCGCGAGUGAUGAAGGUCUUCGGAUCGUAAAACUCUGUUAUUAGGGAAGAACAUAUGUGUAAGUAACUGUGCACAUCUUGACGGUACCUAAUCAGAAAGCCACGGCUAACUACGUG
Molecule: ribosomal RNA, 497 nt
Filed under: uncultured bacterium
Lineage: Bacteria
Description: partial 16S ribosomal RNA
Rfam family: Bacterial small subunit ribosomal RNA
Source: RNAcentral